RNAcentral lists this ribosomal RNA (465 nucleotides) under Vreelandella stevensii. Its description in RNAcentral is "partial 16S ribosomal RNA". It matches the Rfam family "Bacterial small subunit ribosomal RNA", at positions 338 to 795 of the family's 1533-position model. The record is from RNAcentral. Lineage: Bacteria; Pseudomonadati; Pseudomonadota; Gammaproteobacteria; Oceanospirillales; Halomonadaceae.
CCUACGGGGGGCUGCAGUGGGGAAUAUUGGACAAUGGGGGCAACCCUGAUCCAGCCAUGCCGCGUGUGUGAAGAAGGCCCUCGGGUUGUAAAGCACUUUCAGUGAGGAAGAACGCCUGGUGGUUAAUACCCAUCAGGAAAGACAUCACUCACAGAAGCAGCACCGGCUAACUCCGUGCCAGCAGCCGCGGUAAUACGGAGGGUGCGAGCGUUAAUCGGAAUUACUGGGCGUAAAGCGCGCGUAGGUGGCUUGAUAAGCCGGUUGUGAAAGCCCCGGGCUCAACCUGGGAACGGCAUCCGGAACUGUCAAGCUAGAGUGCAGGAGAGGAAGGUAGAAUUCCCGGUGUAGCGGUGAAAUGCGUAGAGAUCGGGAGGAAUACCAGUGGCGAAGGCGGCCUUCUGGACUGACACUGACACUGAGGUGCGAAAGCGUGGGUAGCAAACAGGAUUAGAUACCCUGGUAGUC